UGAUUAAGCCAUGCGAGUCGAAUGUAGCAAUACAUGGCGUACUGCUCAGUAACACGUGGACAACCUGCCCUUAGGACGGGUAUAAACCCGGGAAACUGGGUAUAAUUCCCGAUAGGUCUCGUCUGCUGGAAUGCAUCGAGAUCCAAAGCUCCGGCGCCUAAGGAUGGGUCUGCGGCCUAUCAGGUAGUAGUGGGUGUAGCGUACCUACUAGCCUACGACGGGUACGGGUUGUGAGAGCAAGAGCCCGGAGAUGGAUUCUGAGACACUAAUCCAGGCCCUACGGGGUGCAGCAGGCGCGAAAACUUUACAAUGCUGGGAACAGCGAUAAGGGAACCUCGAGUGCCAGGUUACAAAUCUGGCUGUCGUGAUGCCUAAAAAGCAUUAUAUAGCAAGGGCCGGGCAAGACCGGUGCCAGCCGCCGCGGUAACACCGGCGGCUCGAGUGGUAACCGUUAUUAUUGGGUCUAAAGGGUCUGUAGCCGGCCGGAUAAGUCUCUUGGGAAAUCUGGCAGCUUAACUGUCAGGCUUUCAGGGGAUACUGUCUGGCUCGAGGCCGGGAGAGGUGAGAGGUACUUCAGGGGUAGGGGUGAAAUCUUGUAAUCCUUGAAGGACCACCAGUGGCGAAGGCGUCUCACCAGAACGGACCUGACGGCAAGGGACGAAAGCUAGGGGCACGAACCGGAUUAGAUACCCGGGUAGUCCUAGCCGUAAACGAUACUCGCUAGGUGUCGGCCACGGCGCGACCGUUGUCGGUGCCGUAGGGAAGCCGUGAAGCGAGCCACCUGGGAAGUACGGCCGCAAGGCUGAAACUUAAAGGAAUUGGCGGGGGAGCA
This 832-nucleotide ribosomal RNA is filed under the name uncultured archaeon. RNAcentral's name for it is "bacterial SSU rRNA". It matches the Rfam family "Archaeal small subunit ribosomal RNA", at positions 41 to 878 of the family's 1478-position model. The record is from RNAcentral.